CUGCUGCUGUGCAGGCAGGGCAUGUGGGCGUCCUUGGAAAAACCCCAGGCUCAUGCAGAUGCCACGUGUCUGCUGACUAGAUGUGCAGUGUCCUCCUCCGCAACCAGCUCAUCUCAAGGGGUGUGAUGCGGUCCAUGUCCCAGUGGCUGAACUCCUCCCACUCAGAAAACCUUCAGCUCACAGCAAUGGCUCUCUGUGCUGAGGUGAGGCAGCUGCAAGAGGAGAGUUCUUCUUAAGAAACUGCUGCUUGGCUUGUCGUCUUCUUUGGGAAGAGGGUGAUAGAGAGGAGAGUCAUCAUUAAGACUCCAAAGGAUGCUCCUUUACACAAUGCCUGUUCAUAUGCUGUGCCAGGGCUUAAGCUGUAUCUUGGUGCUCAGGGACAUGUCGCUUUAUUUUAGUGGAUGAAAGAACCACCGAUCACAGAGAGGAAGUUCCUGGAGAGUGUCCUGGACAUCUUGAUGGAGAAAGCACAGCACAGAAUCAACGCUGUGCGACAGAUGGCAGUGAGACGCCUGGGCAACACAUUCAGAAGAGCAUCUGAGAAGGUGCGAAAGCACAAGAAGGCCAUUCUGGAAGUACUGCAGAGAUGCGUGGAGGACGUUGCCUGUCCCCAGCUGGUUGCUGAGAGCAUGCUUGUGCUGGCUAAGAUGGUGAGAAAGCUGCGCCCAAAGGACUUGGGGUCUGCCUUUGAAGACAUCGCCAGGAUGUUCUUUG
Molecule: long non-coding RNA, 714 nt
Organism: Numida meleagris (helmeted guineafowl)
Lineage: Eukaryota; Metazoa; Chordata; Aves; Galliformes; Numididae
Exons: 3
Source: RefSeq, a predicted model, not a curated record